RNAcentral lists this ribosomal RNA (222 nucleotides) under uncultured bacterium. RNAcentral describes it as "partial 16S ribosomal RNA". It matches the Rfam family "Bacterial small subunit ribosomal RNA", at positions 108 to 339 of the family's 1533-position model. The record is from RNAcentral.
GAGUAAUACGUAGGAACUUGCCUUGCAGAGGGGGAUAACCUGGGGAAACCCAGGCUAAUACCGCAUACGGCCUAAGGGUUAAAGCUGGGGCAACCUGGCGCUGCGAGAUAGGCCUACGUCAGAUUAGCUAGUUGGUGGGGUAAAGGCCUACCAAGGCAAAGAUCUGUAGCUGGUCUGAGAGGAUGAUCAGCCACACUGGGACUGAGACACGGCCCAGACUCC